AUGUGUCUCAACUGCGGGUCGCUGCCAGCGCAUCGCACGCUGCCAUGGGAGCCACCUGGAAGGGGCAGUCCGGUGCCCUCCAAACCUGUCUUCCUGGCUUCCUCCUUCCUAUUGCCUGCCUCGCCGCUCAUAUCACCCACCAGGUUUCUUCUGCAGCUAGAAUCCCUCAAAAGCCUGCAGUUGGAGCCAGAAUUUAGGAUCACAGUAUACAAAACCCUUAUAAAUCCUGACACUGAAGGGUCGUUCCUCCACUGGAAUGAGGAAGAGAUCACGGAUGCCACACCGCUUGCAACUGAUCUCACCAGUCAGGGGCAGACCAACCAACUGGGUGAGCGAGCACUAUAUAGCUCAUAG
This 354-nucleotide ribosomal RNA is filed under the name Triticum aestivum (bread wheat). Its description in RNAcentral is "partial small subunit ribosomal RNA". Lineage: Eukaryota; Viridiplantae; Streptophyta; Magnoliopsida; Poales; Poaceae. The record is from RNAcentral.